RNAcentral lists this ribosomal RNA (470 nucleotides) under uncultured Streptococcus sp. RNAcentral's name for it is "bacterial SSU rRNA". It matches the Rfam family "Bacterial small subunit ribosomal RNA", at positions 910 to 1382 of the family's 1533-position model. The record is from RNAcentral. Lineage: Bacteria; Bacillati; Bacillota; Bacilli; Lactobacillales; Streptococcaceae.
UUGACGGGGCCCGCACAAGCGGUGGAGCAUGUGGUUUAAUUCGACGCAACGCGAAGAACCUUACCAGGGCUUGACAUCCCCUGACCGCGUAUGAAAGUACGUUUUCACCUCGGGUGACAGGGAGACAGGUGGUGCAUGGUUGUCGUCAGCUCGUGUCGUGAGAUGUUGGGUUAAGUCCCGCAACGAGCGCAACCCCUAUUGUUAGUUGCCAUCAUUCAGUUGGGCACCCUAGCGAGACUGCCGGUAAUAAACCGGAGGAAGUGGGGAUGACGUCAAAUCAUCAUGCCCCUUAUGACCUGGGCUACACACGUGCUACAAUGGUUGGUACAACGAGUUGCGAGUCGGUGACGGCGAGCUAAUCUCUUAAAGCCAAUCUCAGUUCGGAUUGUAGGCUGCAACUCGCCUACAUGAAGUCGGAAUCGCUAGUAAUCGCGGAUCAGCACGCCGCGGUGAAUACGUUCCCGGGCCUU